CGCUAUUUGGGGAGUUAUCUGGUGCGUCUAUUGUAUCCAUGUGGACUGUUGAUUUGUUACAGAAUACUAAAUCAACUGUCAACGCCGAUUUGGGAAACUUUAUUUUGGGCAUCACGAGAAUCAUUGCCGGCCUCUUCGGAGGUUUCCUUAUUUUCCAUACUGGAAGAAGGCCUUUGGCGAUUAGUUCAGCUUUAGGCGCUGGGGUGGUGUACAUAGCG
This is a long non-coding RNA of Pararge aegeria (speckled wood butterfly), 218 nucleotides long. RefSeq lists it as uncharacterized. The transcript has 3 exons. The record is from RefSeq and is a predicted model, not a curated record. NCBI's taxonomy places the organism in Eukaryota, Metazoa, Arthropoda, Insecta, Lepidoptera, Nymphalidae.